GUUAGGAAUAUUGGACAAUGGGCGCAAGCCUGAUCCAGCCAUGCCGCGUGAGUGAUGAAGGCCUUCGGGUUGUAAAGCUCUUUAGCCGAUGAUUAUAAUGACUGUAGUCGGAAAAUAAGCCCCGGCUAACUUCGUGCCAGCAGCCGCGGUAAUACGAAGGGGGCUAGCGUUGUUCGGAUUUACUGGGCGUAAAGCGCACGUAGGCGGUUUGUUAAGUCAGGGGUGAAAUCCCGGAGCUCAACUCCGGAACUGCCUUUGAUACUGGCAAGCUAGAGUCCGGAAGAGGUAAGUGGAACUCCUAGUGUAGAGGUGGAAUCCGUAGAUAUUAGGAAGAACACCAGUGGCGAAGGCGGCUUACUGGUCCGGAACUGACGCUGAGGUGCGAAAGCGUGGGGAGCAAACAGGAUUAGAAACCCGGGUAGUCC
RNAcentral lists this ribosomal RNA (425 nucleotides) under uncultured bacterium. Its description in RNAcentral is "partial 16S ribosomal RNA". It matches the Rfam family "Bacterial small subunit ribosomal RNA", at positions 354 to 796 of the family's 1533-position model. The record is from RNAcentral.